UCCCGCUCAGGGCUGCUCCUGGAGAGUUUCCAGUACUCUGUCAGUCUUGGCUACAGGAGGGAGAGCCAAGCAGAGGCCUACCCAUUCCAUUUCUAGCUUGGGCAGUGGCUAGCGGAUGGAAGGCAAUCUGCUACAAGC
Tachyglossus aculeatus (Australian echidna) is the source of this 138-nucleotide small nucleolar RNA. The record is from RefSeq and is a predicted model, not a curated record. Lineage: Eukaryota; Metazoa; Chordata; Mammalia; Monotremata; Tachyglossidae.